This 938-nucleotide ribosomal RNA is filed under the name uncultured organism. RNAcentral's name for it is "bacterial SSU rRNA". It matches the Rfam family "Bacterial small subunit ribosomal RNA", at positions 29 to 963 of the family's 1533-position model. The record is from RNAcentral.
AUGAACGCUAGCGGCAGGCCUAACACAUGCAAGUCGAGGGGUAACAGUCCGGAGCAAUCUGGAGCUGACGACCGGCGCACGGGUGAGUAACGCGUAUGCAACUUUCCUCUAACAGAGAGAUAGCCCGAAGAAAUUCGGAUUAAUAUCUCAUAACAUCAUGAAAUCGCAUGGUUUUAUGAUUAAAGCUCCGGCGGUUAGAGAUGGGCAUGCGUGACAUUAGUUAGUUGGUGAGGUAACGGCUCACCAAGGCAACGAUGUCUAGGGGUUCUGAGAGGAUGAUCCCCCACACUGGUACUGAGACACGGACCAGACUCCUACGGGAGGCAGCAGUGAGGAAUAUUGGGCAAUGGACGCAAGUCUGACCCAGCCAUGCCGCGUGCAGGAUGACGGCCCUACGGGUUGUAAACUGCUUUUGUACGAGAAGAAUUCUCUUGACGUGUCAGGGGUUGACGGUAUCGUACGAAUAAGCAUCGGCUAACUCCGUGCCAGCAGCCGCGGUAAUACGGAGGAUGCAAGCGUUAUCCGGAUUUAUUGGGUUUAAAGGGUGCGUAGGCGGGAUAUUAAGUCAGUGGUGAAAUCCUGCAGCUUAACUGUAGAACUGCCAUUGAUACUGAUAUUCUUGAGUAUAGUUGAAGUGGGCGGAAUGUGUAAUGUAGCGGUGAAAUGCUUAGAUAUUACACAGAACACCGAUUGCGUAGGCAGCUCGCUAAACUAAUACUGACGCUGAGGCACGAAAGCGUGGGGAGCGAACAGGAUUAGAUACCCUGGUAGUCCACGCUGUAAACUAUGAUCACUCGUUGUUGGCAAUACACAGUCAGCGACUGAGCGAAAGCAUUAAGUGAUCCACCUGGGGAGUACGGCCGCAAGGUUGAAACUCAAAGGAAUUGACGGGGGCCCGCACAAGCGGAGGAACCUGUGGGUUUAUUCGAUGAUACGCG